This 824-nucleotide ribosomal RNA is filed under the name bacterium. RNAcentral describes it as "bacterial SSU rRNA". It matches the Rfam family "Bacterial small subunit ribosomal RNA", at positions 25 to 864 of the family's 1533-position model. The record is from RNAcentral.
CAGGACGAACGCUGGCGGCGUGCUUAACACAUGCAAGUCGAACGAUGAAGCCCUUCGGGGUGGAUUAGUGGCGAACGGGUGAGUAACACGUGGGCAAUCUGCCCUUCACUCUGGGACAAGCCCUGGAAACGGGGUCUAAUACCGGAUAAUACUUUCCUCCUCCUGGAGGAAGGUUGAAAGCUCCGGCGGUGAAGGAUGAGCCCGCGGCCUAUCAGCUAGUUGGUGGGGUAAUGGCCUACCAAGGCGACGACGGGUAGCCGGCCUGAGAGGGCGACCGGCCACACUGGGACUGAGACACGGCCCAGACUCCUACGGGAGGCAGCAGUGGGGAAUAUUGCACAAUGGGCGAAAGCCUGAUGCAGCGACGCCGCGUGAGGGAUGACGGCCUUCGGGUUGUAAACCUCUUUCAGCAGGGAAGAAGCGAAAGUGACGGUACCUGCAGAAGAAGCGCCGGCUAACUACGUGCCAGCAGCCGCGGUAAUACGUAGGGCGCAAGCGUUGUCCGGAAUUAUUGGGCGUAAAGAGCUCGUAGGCGGCUUGUCACGUCGGUUGUGAAAGCCCGGGGCUUAACCCCGGGUCUGCAGUCGAUACGGGCAGGCUAGAGUGUGGUAGGGGAGAUCGGAAUUCCUGGUGUAGCGGUGAAAUGCGCAGAUAUCAGGAGGAACACCGGUGGCGAAGGCGGAUCUCUGGGCCAUUACUGACGCUGAGGAGCGAAAGCGUGGGGAGCGAACAGGAUUAGAUACCCUGGUAGUCCACGCCGUAAACGUUGGGAACUAGGUGUUGGCGACAUUCCACGUCGUCGGUGCCGCAGCUAACGCAUUAAG